AGUGAACGCUGGCGGUAGGCCUAACACAUGCAAGUCGAACGGCAGCACAGUAAGAGCUUGCUCUUACGGGUGGCGAGUGGCGGACGGGUGAGGAAUACAUCGUAAUCUACUUUUUCGUGGGUGAUAACGUAGGGCAACUUACGCUAAUACCGCAUACGACCUACGGGUUAAAGCAGGGGAUCUUCGGACCUUGCGCGAUUGAAUGAGCCGAUGUCGGAUUAGCUAGUUGGCGGGGUAAAGGCCCACCAAGGCGACGAUCCGUAGCUGGUCUGAGAGGAUGAUCAGCCACACUGGAACGGAGACACGGACCAGACGCCUACGGGAGGCAGCAGUGGGGAAUAGUGGACAAUGGGGGCAAGCCUGAUCCAGCCAGACCGCGUGGGUGAAGAAGGCCUUCGGGUUGUAAAGCCCUUUUGUUGGGAAAGAAAAGCAGCAGGUUAAUACCCCGCUGUUCUGACGGUACCCAAAGAAUAAGCACCGGCUAACUUCGUG
This 492-nucleotide ribosomal RNA is filed under the name uncultured bacterium. RNAcentral describes it as "partial 16S ribosomal RNA". It matches the Rfam family "Bacterial small subunit ribosomal RNA", at positions 29 to 507 of the family's 1533-position model. The record is from RNAcentral.